This 500-nucleotide ribosomal RNA is filed under the name uncultured bacterium. RNAcentral's name for it is "partial 16S ribosomal RNA". It matches the Rfam family "Bacterial small subunit ribosomal RNA", at positions 29 to 523 of the family's 1533-position model. The record is from RNAcentral.
AUUGAACGCUGGCGGCAUGCCUUACACAUGCAAGUCGAACGGCAGCGCGGACUUCGGUCUGGCGGCGAGUGGCGAACGGGUGAGUAAUACAUCGGAACGUACCCUGUUGUGGGGGAUAACUAGUCGAAAGAUUAGCUAAUACCGCAUACGACCUGAGGGUGAAAGUGGGGGACCGCAAGGCCUCACGCAGCAGGAGCGGCCGAUGUCUGAUUAGCUAGUUGGUGGGGUCAAGGCCCACCAAGGCGACGAUCAGUAGCUGGUCUGAGAGGACGAUCAGCCACACGGGGACUGAGACACGACCCAGACUCCUACGGGAGGCAGCAGUGGGGAAUUUUGGACAAUGGGGGCAACCCUGAUCCAGCAAUGCCGCGUGUGUGAAGAGGGCCUUCGGGUUGUAAAGCACUUUUGUCCGGAAAGAAAUCGCGCUGGUUAAUACCUGGCGUGGAUGACGGUACCGGAAGAAUAAGCACCGGCUAACUACGUGCCAGCCGCCGCCGUAA